UUUUUUUGACAUCCAACUUCUGAUAAAUAGAAUCAAGUUAUUGAUUCCACUUGCCGUCCUAUAUACCAACCCCAUCAACACAUGUGUGGCGGAAAUGCACCAAAAAGGAGGAAAUUGCAUCCACUCAAUAAGAAAGGUCACAGAAAGCACCAGGGAGGUCUGCUCCUCCUGAUUUUCUUGACUGCCAGCACAAAGUGAAGUAAUAAUCUUUUAGCUUCAGCUUCCCAUCUGUAGAAAAUGCCUAUUUUCUUGCUUAUGUAGAAGGCUUGGGAGAAUAAUGUUUUUAGAAGCAGUUGCACACUACAGCAAAAGUAGCCAUAAUGAAGAGGCAGCCUCCCCUGGCAAAAUCUUCAGGGGAGUCUGGAGUUGACAUUUGGCUGUAUCCUACAUGCAUUACAUGGACAUAUAUAAAAUACUUGGCAUAUGUAGCACUUACAAGAAAUAGCAGACUUUAAAAAUAGUCAAAUAACUGAUAAAAGACCAUAUAUGUGUCCUUAGAUAAACAUACAAAUUUCUGUUAAAUAGUUUAAAAAUCCCUACCUUCUUAAAAUUCUCCUUAGUAAAUCUCUGACUUUAUUCUGUCACUUCUAAAUAUCUGAAGUCUUUUUUGAGGAGCAGUCUGAAUCCCAGUCUGUCCCAAGAGACUAGCACACCCAUGUUCAGUCAGCUCUAGCAGGGCUCUGACUCCAUGGGAACAAUAACAACAUGAUAGCCUUGUCAUCUGAAAUAUCCAUUUAGCAUCUUAUUUUUUCAAAUAUUUUAUGUUUGUUCUUCAUUGCUGUUUUUGUUAACCUAAUUCUUGUAAAAUCUGAAGCAAAAAAUAUGUAGUUAAGUUUCACAGUGCUCAAGGAUUAUAUGACUGAUGGAACUGUGAUAUGUUAGAAAAUAUCUUGUAGCCCCCAAAAAGAAAAACAAAUACCAAUCACAGAACCUAUGAAAACAUUCUAACUGUUCUUUCAUUGAAUGUUUAGCUGUUAUAAAAGUCAGUUUGUCAGAGUUACAGAUAACAAUACAGCACACUAAAAGUUCAAUGAACGUGUACCUAUACAAAGUGUAUUCCAUCAAGCAGUACAGUCAUUCAUGUAGAUAGCUUUAGUCUGUUUAUUACUAACCUGAUUGGAUAAUCAAGAUACUUAUAAUGGAUUUAAUUUGGUAAUAAUAAAGUAUUGCUUAUGCUAAUGGUACUAUCCAGAUUAAUAGGUUUUUAAACAGUUGGUGCUGUUUUAUUGUAUCUUCCUGAGUAACAAGCUCAUGUAUAUAUGCAUUGUACAUUGAAUGAUGUAGCCCGAUAACUCCAGCAAUACCGUUACAGUGUUAUCAAUAUGGGACAUCUGAAAGGUUUUUUUCUUAUCAAUUUAAGGUAAAGUUGAAGUUUAUGAAGGAGAUGUGUUCUCAAUGUUCAAUGUGUGUAAUAGAAGAUAAAUAGCUGACAGAACACUAGGAAUGUGGUAGUGUUUGAGUGCCUCACCACUCCUCACUCAAACCAUCUGUCAGGCACUUCAGGGAAAAAAAAAAAUACAUAACUUUUAGAAAUGUUUGUUCUGAAAAUGCAAAUGAAUAUUUUUUUAUUUAUUUCCAGUCACGUAGAUGGAUCUGUUUCUUACAACAAGUCUGCACAGAGAUAUGGUGCGUAUUUAACUACUUCAGAAAAAGGUUAUGUAGGCCCAGGUGGCCCAUGCAAGAUGACUUUGAAAUCUCUGUUUGCUAAAGGAGAAGGAGUGUAGUGGAUGAGGACACAUGAAGUGCAGUUUGACAUCUUCAGCUUGUGUUCAGCUUAGGUGCAGAUGCUGAAAAAACCAGUUUUGCCCUCGCCUGUCCGGCUCACGUCCUCCAGCCCCCAUUGCAAGUGCGUUGCUGCAGCCACUGACAGUGCAGCUCGCACAAGUACUAAUGCCAGCAGAGAAGAGGUGGUGGAACAAUGGAGCUAGGGGCAUUGGGAAGGGGAAGCUCAUCCCUCUCAGUGAUACCAGGGGUUUGUAUCACUUUAAGCAGCUUGUGAAACUUAAUUUCAGAGCCCCAGAUCAUCAGGCUGCUCAAAUAUAUGCCUAACUUGAAGCACACAGACUAUCAGUAAGAAAAUAUUGAAGCAUAUGUUUCAACUUAAAACACAUUAUUAAGUGCUUCCCGAAUUGACAUUAUUUCCUUCUCAGUAUUUCUUCCCAUCCAUUUUUUUUUCACUCCCUGCCAAUAUGCACUCUGUUUCCCUCUUUGCAUCUUGCCAAUGAUCCCUUGACUUUCUGAUUGUGUAUCUUUUCAUUAUUUUAGGCUACUUCUCUCUGAAUGUGCAACACAAGGCCAGGGCAUGGUUUUAGCCCUCUGAAUGCUAUCAUGGAUGUUGUUCAGCAGUGAACAUGCUUCCUGGCAGGGUUUUGGCUUGUGCCAAAUGGCAGUGUGCCAGAAACACCUGAGCACAGCCCAGGGAAUAGCAAGGGCUUGGCGCUGUUCCUGACAGGUAUUGUGUGUGAUGCCAUUCUGUUUUGGGAAGGCAUUAAAGAUGCAAGUCCUCAGGGACAGAGAAUAGGUUCUAGCCUGGUUCAUUGACUAGCACAGCUAUAGCUUAGCUGUCUUCUGUGUUGUAUGGGUCUGGUUGCAAAGUAAUUAAAAUCAAAUUAGAAAAAUCCAAAUAUCUUUAAAUGAAUUUUGAUUUGGAUUUCCAUACCAGCCUGUUCUGGCAUCAGAAGUUAUGGUAUGGAGGAAAAAUUUACUUCUGCACCAUUUCGGACUGCUGCACCAUCUCAUGUGGCCUUAAAGAGGCAGAUAAGGCAAAUUAAAAGCUUGUAAGUACUGCACUGUAAGUCAGCUAGUCAGUCCAACACAUUGUAAUUAAAGAUGGCAAACUGUAGGCAAGUUUAGGUCACCAGCUACCCGAUUUGCUGGCCCAGCUAUUUGUUUAAUCAGAAGAAGGUUUCAUUCUUGAUUGCACUAACAGGACUUCACUGAAGCCAAACUUGAAACUUUCUGUUUUCUCAGGACUUAGAUGUUUGUUAUGCUUUCCUCAAAUGUUUUUCCUCAGUUGUGGUAGCUUCAAUGGCACAGGGAGUGCAGGCAAUAACUGGUUAUAUUAAACCAAAUCAGUAAUGCCUAUGGACUCUGAAGUCCUGUUGGGAUGAUACUGGAGGACUAACAAAUCUGUCAGGCUGGUUUACUGUCAACAAAGCCACCUAUUUCAAAUUGUGUAUUAUCUCCUCUAAUAGACUAUUCUACUCUUAUUUCCUUGAAUUUGUCUGAAGCUGUAUCUGACCUCAUGGAUUCAGUGAUUUCCACACCCUGUCACCGCCAAAGUCUCCCACUUUCUUACUGUAUCCAACUGCAAGAAUAUUUUUUACAUUUUAUUCUUUUAACCAAAAUCCGUGUUAAUUUACACUUCAGGAACAUCUGUUGCCUACAGUCAGGAACUGUCUUUAUCCGGUUUUAUUGCUCUGAAACCAAAGAUGCAAUUUCGAUUUUUUUGAAAGAAAAGCAUUUGCCUAAACUGUUUAACAGACCUCUACAUCUACCUAGGGCAGAGAAAACAAGACAAAAAGAUGGCCUUUAAUUAAUUGUAUGGCUGUGAGUGAGGCUUCCAUGCCCAUUGCUCAUAACACACAGGCUUAACUGCUGCAAACUUUUCUGUAAUUUCAGAAAAUUCUGAAUUUGUUUUGGAAAUUGUUGAAAUAUAAUUAAAGUUUAAAUGAAGAUGCCACAGACUUCAAUUUGUUCUUUUAGUAAUUUCUACAGACCAGAGACCUUGAGCCAGGAAUACGAUGGCCACGCUGUAAGCCCAGGAAUGAAUCCCUACUUACACAUGUUGGUAUCUACCAACUGACUGUCCCCAGCUGAACAGGCAUCUUACUAGUUCCUUAACAAAACAUUGUUAUUACAUCAGUAAUUACAAUUUUUAGCUUUAGAGUAAAAAAUGCAUUUUAAAGCAUCUGUCAACGUCUUAUUGACUGACUUUUUUUUUUUUCCCCCAUUUCCAGUGAUUCCUCAUAUUUAUACUGAGACCACAACUAAAAUUGUUAAUGAACAUCAUCUGAUUAAUGCAACCUGUUUUGAUUCGGUAGCAGCCACCCACAUGAAAAAUCCAAUAAUUCUCAAAAAAGAUGUGUAAGAAACUUCACUGUCUAUGAGAAAGGAUGGAGGGCAUAGGACUGUGAAGUCUAAGACACUUAAGCAUUUGUUUAACUUCAAGCCCAAGAGAACAUAACUGAAAUCACUAAGUUCAUUCCUGCAGUUAACCAUGAAUGGUGUAUGGAUUCUGAAAUGCAAAACACAUGCUGAACACCUAACUGGGCUGACAAUGGCUCAAAAAUAUUAGGAUUUUUAAAAAAUCAGUUAAUACAAAGUUUGCUAUCUGGGUUUUUCACAUUUAUAAACUUGUAGUAUUUGGAAAAUAGAGUUUAUAUUGAUCUUUUAACUAUUAGAAUUGGUUAUAUCAUGACAAAUCAGUAUCCUGCUGGAGAUCUUCAAAUGCAUUUCUGUCUUCAAAGAAGAAAAUAUUACAUGCUCUGCAAUGUUUCUUUCGUUAUGAAAAAGAAAAACAGUUGAAGGAUGAACUGAAAUUUUCAUUGAAUGCUUUCUCCAUAUAAUCUUCUAAACUGAAAAUCAUUAAAAACCCCGAAGUGGUCACAUGUUUGCAGAAAGAGAGGCUAAUUGUGACUGAAAAAAUCCCCCAUAAAGUGGUAGGAAGGUAAGAGCUGCCACUACUGCAGCCAGAUUAAAGCUCUAAUUUAUUGUCCUCAAAGUGUGGCCAGUUACAUGGCCUAGAGAAAGAAUUUCCUCUUUUCGUCUCCUGUAUCUUUUCUGUGAUACGUCCUCUUCCGUCUGCCAGCAAGUGUUUUAGGGACUGAACCCCAGGGCAUCUGUGUGCAUAUGGCCAUCCCUUCAGUAGCUGAUAAUGGACCAUCUCACAGCUAACAAGGCAAAUCUUGUUUUGAAGACAUUGGUGCUGUAGUACCCCACUGUAUUCUUCUGCCCCAGGUCCAUGCAUUAACCAUAUGCUGUGUCAAUAAGUGGGUCUUCUUGCUUGUUUUAAAUCUGCCAUCUACUAGUUUUCUUGGAGGGAGGGAAGAAGGGAAUGUACCCUGUGUGUUGUUAGAUUUUGAGAACAUCAGUGAGUGUUCACUUCUGGAUCACCCUCUCCUCAUGAUUAAUAAUUUAAUAUAAACUACCAAUGAGAUGGCCACCAUUCAUAAUCCACAAACACCUUUGUGUGACUGAGCACCAGCGGCUGGCCUGUGUGCCUUGGGGGUUGAGGGACAGGGAGCCGGAGGAGCGAGAACUGGCUCCCAAAGGGCUUCCACUGUGGCAGCCAGCGCUGGCUCCCACCCUGCCUGCCUGGGGAUUUGACCUGUGGAGCGGUCCCACUUGGAGUACAGUGCGCAGAAAAUGACCAAAAGUACAAUGCACCCUAGAUUUCUACAGCUCUAUAGCUUUUUUAUCCCUUUCAUUUCUGAAUAACUCCCAAUAACUGCUCUGUCUUCUUGGCCAUUGCUGAACACUGGGCUGAUGGUUUUGCAGAACUGCCAACAAUGACUUCCAGACCUUUUUUUGUUUCUUUGCUCAGUCAUAGCCAAUAUAGACCCUGUGACUGUGAUAGUGAGUUUAGAGUUAGAUCUCUCCCUGGUUUGUGCUUUCUGACAAUGCAUUUUAUUUCCCUUCUGUCUCCUACAUAUGUGAAACCUGGAAUGGUACAGUUUCAGGUAUUAAAGAGAUUUUAAUGUACUGUAUGACAGAUUGGUUAAGACUGUGACAGAACUGGUAGAAACACUUUGAACUUUUAUUAUACAUAUUUUCAAACUGUAAAUACAUUAAGAUGAUCAUUCUAAAACAUAUUAUUUUAUUUCUUUACUUUCCAGAUUAAGUUUUGAUUAAAUUCUCUGUGAGAAUUUUUGAGAACAAUAUUUCUUGGGAACAAAUAAGUCCAAUAAAGAAGCGUGAUAACCUUUAAAGACAUAUUACCUAUUAAUUUCAGUGAAUUAGAAUUUUUGAUGUUUUAUCUACUCCAAUGUGCAAGGGCAGAAUUUAAAUCAGUGACUUGAAAGUGAAGGGCUCCGAUGAGCCUCAAAACUUAAACCUUUCCAGUUAUGCAGUUCUGCAGAUCUUGAAAAAAUGAGUCUUGUAAAAGUAUUUAUUUAUUAUCCACUAUUACAGCAGUUGAAACAGCAUUGACAUCUGCUUCAACUUUUUUUAUAGCAAAAAUGAUGUGUUACUAUGCAUGAAUAACUCUGUGGCAUGAGACACAGGUAAGCAAAGGACACUCUCAAGGUGUGUCAAACAAGCUAUGACAACAACUGUGUAAAGUUUCCUUUGAGCUUGUUCAACCGAAUAACUAACUGAAAAUUGCACUAUCAAAGGUAACUAUUAAUACUAUCUGGCAGUAAAGGCAGUUGUUCACUUGUUAAAAAAGCCUAACCAAUACCUAAACUGCAAAUACUGUGUGUCAGUAUUGCAAACACAUCCAUAUUGUACUGAUCGUCCCCAAAUUGAAUAUUUUCUUGCAGUUAUAGCGAUAAUUCUUCAUAUUUAUCCCACUUUUAGCAAAAGUGAUGAUGUAGGGGCAACACUUCCUUUCAGACAGAGGAUUUAUUUUUAUCUCAAAUUAUGCUACUUACUCAUUAAUUAUACAGAACUAACCUGACUUGCAUUUGCUCACGUCCAUCUUCGUGACCUUCCAACACCUGAGUUUACAAAUGUUCAUAAAACAAAGAUUCAUUCCUAAUUCAAAUCAGGUGUGUGAAUGCCUGGAAAGUUUUGGAAUGGGAAAGAAUUUAAGAAAGUCCAAGACCUCUAGAAAGUGUCUGAGGUCCUUCAGUAGGUGGCACACUUCCCUCUGAAUCAGUUGUGAGGGAAGGUAUUUGCAGGAUGCUCAGGGCACUGACCUGUGGGAAGAUUCCUGAGAUGGAAAAACCAGGAGGGCAGCCAAUGUGGUUUGGAAGGUUCCCAUGACACGUACCAGAAGAGUAGAGAAGACAGGGUAAUAUGGCCAAAUUUUAGGUAACUGUAACUUAGUUAAUGCCAUUUUUCUUACCUAAAGCGCCCUCUGCCAAUUUGGGAUGUCAAGAUAUUCUCCUUUACUCUGUUUUCGAGUUGUCUCUACUCACUGCUAAGAGUACUCUGCCCCUCUGUCUCUCUCCAGCCCAUACAUGAAAUUCUCUAUACUUGAAGCACUCAAGGUUUCUUUGAAUUGGAAGAUGACGCAAAAUUGUAAGUUGCCCAUUUCAGAAGAAUGCUAAACUAAAGGCUCCCAGGUCUAAUGGGAAUAUAAAUAAGUAAGCUUUUAGAAUAUUAAGUCACUUAAUUGUUUAGGUUAUAAAUAACUCAAAAGCCACUAAAUCACGCCCCGUCUUUGGCAGGCUGUCACUUCAGCUGUUCCUAGAAAAAGUGGGGCAAGGGUGGGUAGACAACCAAGUGCAGUAUACAAAGUACUUAGGAGCUAUUAUUUUUUAUUUAAAGAGAAAUAACCAGUGCCUGAUAACAUGGCCUGCUUGUUGGCAAGGCAAAAUAUUUUAGCAAAACGCCUAGGAAUCUUUCAAAAACUUAAUUAGAUUGUGGUAGUAAAAAGGAUUAACAAAGCGAAUCUGGCUAUACCACUUACAGGGUUCAUUUAUCUCAUGUUAGAAGUGCACGUAAUCACUUGACUGAAUUUCUGGUCAGCAUUGCUGGCUAAUUAGCUGUGAAAAAAUGGAAAUAAGUAAAAAUUAUCAAAUUUUGUUUAAAAAUCUUUUCCCAGAAUUCAUGUGCUUUAAAAAAUCGUUCCCAUGAAAGGGCAUAAUUUCAGAAAAUUCUACUUGUUUCAUUUUUUCCCCCUUUCCAAGGUCAAGUGAUGACAUGUUAUUAUCGAGCUGUUGAUACGCACAGUAUGUUAGUUCUGCAUCUGGAAAUACUUUAUGGGAAGAAAAAGAUCACUUACUCUUUUUCUUUUUUUUUUUUUUCUUGAGGGAAAGCUCAAUAUAGCAGAAAAAUAUUUUUCCUUCAGGAAAUAGAGCGAUUUGUUCAUUACCAAGCAAACAGUACUCCCCUUCCUUUGGGCCCUCUGCCAGAGUUAUUUACACACAGGCUUGUUCAAGCUAACCACCUUGGCUUCUUGCUCCUUCACACCAUUUGAUACUAUAUGAGCCUGAAGCUGUUGUGGAUAAAGAGGUGCUUCACAGUGACUUCUUUGUGUUCUGUGGAGGAGUCACGGACACACUCCCCUAUAAGGAAAGGUGACCCUUGUUUACUUAGGAAAGUAGACAAACAAGAUACAGCAGCCUGGAUUCAAGGAACCCAUAGAGAGAGGUGUUGGGAGGAGGAACUGGCAAUGUCUUUUUCUCUUUUCUGAUAAGACGGCUCUUGAGCAAAAUGAAAGCAAUGUGUACAAAUGAGAAAGUGGAAUGCUGUGGCUAGAAAUAUGUUUUAUGGUAUUGAAACUCAUAGCUGCUAGUUAUCUCUGAGAAGAGCUUGAGAUGAUCAGUAGAAGGUAGGUAUCUCUCAAAAUAAAAUCCCCUCAGUUAAUGAAAUUAAUACAGCUCUACAAGUGGAUUUUGUGAUGCCUUUGGCAUCCAAAGUAAAGCAGGAGACAAGUGCAGCCCUUUCAGGACUCUUGCCAAGUCUUCUGAGCUCCCUCAGUCUUCCUUCCCACCCUCCUUCCCACUCGCUGCAGGUGCCCCCUUGGGCUCUCCAGGAGUCCCUGAGGAGGGGCUGGUGGCACAGACCCUCACCAUUACCAGCUGUUCAUUGCCCCUGCAUCCAGCUCAGGGCCCUUCAUGCCAGGAGAACGAGCAGGUUCUCAAAGAGGAGGACAAAAGAGGGAGUGCACCUCCCUCCCAGCACUGGAAAACCAGCAGAUUUACUGGUAAGUGUAAGGAGGACCAAGUGUAACUAAGCAGUGGGGAGGGUGGAAGAGACAAGGACAGCAAGAGACAUUGCAGUCCAUGCAGUUGGAAAAAGGAGAGAAGGAAAGGGGAAGAAAGCUCCUACACAAAUAAGCAUGAUGCAUUUUAAAUAACAUUGACAGGAAACUAUUAGUAUUUGUUUAUUUAUGAGGAAAGCUGUUCCCAGUUUCCCAUAGGUUUCCUCAAUCAGACAUUAGGAAAGAGGAUGCUGAACAGUGAGAUAACACCACCAAUACUAAUUCAAGUUUGUGUUCUGCUUUCUGAGACCUUCAGGAAAUUGGAUACAUUUGGUCCAUUUUGCUUUACGCUGCUCAUACUGAAAUCCAUAGAUAGUAUCAAGCCUUGCAUAUAAAGGAAUUCUCUCUUCUCUGUAUCUGUAAAAACUUUGUGAAGAAAUAGGUAAGAGCUUGUGGGUAUAGGCUUAGGGACCAAGUAAUUUUUCCCAAAGUAAGAAAGGAAGAAUUGCUUUAAAAUUGCUAGCUAUUUUAGGAAUGGUUAUUUAAUGUUUCAACUCAACUGUACUAUUAUAGAAAAAUUAUGUAAUGCUUCCUAUUAUCUACUUUGAGAGCAGCACAGUUUACAAAACCGAUGGAUUCUGUAUAUUCUGAGGUCAAACUAAGUUUUCAGAAUAAUUUAUACUGUUUAAUAAACUGUGAACGUCAUUGCUGAAUAUUAUCAUUUUGUAUUCCACUUGCUACUAGCGGCAGCUGUGAUGGCCAAGGUUCUUUCCAAGCAGCAAGAAUUACUUAUUUUCUGAUAAAUCUACAAAAUCUCUACUUAAAUAACAAGUGCAAAUCUCACACCUGAAAGCUCCCUUAGUUCUCAGUGUAGUUAUAGUUUUAUUAAAUGCUGUAUUUAAAUAUAAAAAAAUAAAUCUAGAGGGAAAUGAUAGGAUGGUAUGAUGUAAUGAUGUAAGGACAUCAUUAUUAAGUUAUAUUGUUGUCACAAGCAGAUAAGAGAAAGUGAUUCAGAUGUCUGCUGCCUCUCUUUGGAGUUACUGGCAGGAGUUUGUGAAGAAAAUUGCCUGGGCAUCCCAGCUGUAGCCCCUUCAUGGGACAGCGCUCCUGCCUCCUGCUCCCCAUGGGAGGGGAAAAGAGCAUCAGUGGGGGGUGAAGGUGAGCCUGCACUCACUUAUACCCAUUCCCCUAUGAUGGUUCACAAAGGAGGAGUGGGCUGAAGGGACCAUGCAAAGAUCUCCCUUCCUCCUUGGCUGGGGGGGUAUCCCCCAAGCUAGGGACUCUUGCAGCUGCAAGUUAUGCAUUGCGUAAAACCUGCUCUGCAGCUUGAGCCAAGCAAACUAGGUAUGACAGUCGAGGCUUCUGAGCAUGUGUAGCCUCAUUCUCUUCCCUGGGACCACCAAGGUGCC
Molecule: long non-coding RNA, 10221 nt
Organism: Columba livia (rock pigeon)
Lineage: Eukaryota; Metazoa; Chordata; Aves; Columbiformes; Columbidae
Exons: 3
Source: RefSeq, a predicted model, not a curated record